GACUAGUGACAGAGUGAGGAAGGGGGUGACACAAUGACAGAGGGAGGGAGGGAGUGACUAGUGACAGAGUGAAGGAGGUGGUGACUGUCACUAGUCACCCCAUCCCUCCCUCUGUCAUUGUGUCACCCCCUCCCUCACUCUGUCACUAGUCA
Pelobates cultripes (western spadefoot toad) is the source of this 152-nucleotide non-coding RNA. NCBI's taxonomy places the organism in Eukaryota, Metazoa, Chordata, Amphibia, Anura, Pelobatidae. The record is from the annotation of a GenBank genome assembly.